Molecule: ribosomal RNA, 465 nt
Filed under: uncultured bacterium
Lineage: Bacteria
Description: partial 16S ribosomal RNA
Rfam family: Bacterial small subunit ribosomal RNA
Source: RNAcentral
GACGAACGCUGGCGGCGUGCUUAACACAUGCAAGUCGAACGGAAAGGCCCUGCUUGCAGGGUACUCGAGUGGCGAACGGGUGAGUAACACGUGGGUGAUCUGCCCUGCACUUCGGGAUAAGCCUGGGAAACUGGGUCUAAUACCGGAUAGGAGCCAUUUUGAGAGUGAUGGUUGGACAGUUUUUUCGGUGUAGGAUGAGCUCGCGGCCUAUCAGCUUGUUGGUGGGGUAAUGGCCUACCAAGGCGGCGACGGGUAGCCGGCCUGAGAGGGUGGACGGCCACCUUGGGACUGAGAUGCGGCCCAGACUCCUACUGGUGGCAGCAGUGGGGAAUAUUGCACAAUGGGCGCCAGCCUGAUGCAGCGACGCCGCGUGGGGGAUGACGGCCUUCGGGUUGUAAACUCCUUUCGCUAGGGACGAAGCUUUUUGUGACGUUACCUAGAUAAGAAGCACCGGCUAACUACGUG